Molecule: ribosomal RNA, 474 nt
Filed under: uncultured bacterium
Lineage: Bacteria
Description: bacterial SSU rRNA
Rfam family: Bacterial small subunit ribosomal RNA
Source: RNAcentral
GACGAACGCUGGCGGCGUGCUUAACACAUGCAAGUCGAGCGGUAAGGCCCUUUCGGGGGUACACGAGCGGCGAACGGGUGAGUAACACGUGGGUGACCUGCCUUUAGCUCUGGGAUAAGCCUGGGAAACCGGGUCUAAUACCGGAUAUGACUCCGCGGCGCAUGUUGUGGGGUGGAAAGCCUUGUGCGGCUGGAGAUGGGCCCGCGGCCUAUCAGCUUGUUGGUGGGGUGAUGGCCUACCAAGGCGACGACGGGUAGCCGGCCUGAGAGGGCGACCGGCCACACUGGGACUGAGACACGGCCCAGACUCCUACGGGAGACAGCAGUGGGGAAUCUUGCGCAAUGGGGGAAACCCUGACGCAGCAACGCCGCGUGGAGGAUGAAGUCCCUUGGGACGUAAACUCCUUUCGACCCGGACGAUAAUGACGGUACGGGUGGAAGAAGCCCCGGCUAACUUCGUGCCAGCAGCCGCUGU